RNAcentral lists this long non-coding RNA (385 nucleotides) under Fukomys damarensis (Damara mole-rat). Its description in RNAcentral is "lncRNA (ENSFDAG00000027409.1)". The record is from RNAcentral. Lineage: Eukaryota; Metazoa; Chordata; Mammalia; Rodentia; Bathyergidae.
GGCGAAUGUAUCAGGUGAAUCAACACUAUUUUUCCUUUCUUUUCAGUUUUCUGAGACAGAGUCUGGCUUUGUAGCCCACGCUCGCCUCCAACUCACACGUGUCUUCCUGCCUCAGCCUCUGGAGUGCUGGGAAACACAAGUGUGCCACACCAUGUCCGGCUCAAGGCCCUUGGCCAGGGUCCCGCGGCUGCGGUCGGCGUGGGAUGAGGAAGUGUUUGGAGACCUGUGCUCUCGUGACGAACAAGCAAGGACGUGAACGAUACUCUGGGAGCCAAAGCCACACAUUUCCGGUCCCUGUAACUGCAGCCCAGCCACGUGCCACCCUUGGGAGAGACACAGUUCUGUGUCACAGGAAGGACUAAGGUGACCGUCACCGCGCACUAAC